UGAGCAACCUGCCCUUAACUCUGGGAUAAGCCUGGGAAACUGGGUCUAAUACCGGAUAUGACUCCUCAUCGCAUGGUGGGGGGUGGAAGCUUUAUUGUGGUUUUGGAUGGACUCGCGGCCUAUCAGCUUGUUGGUGAGGUAAUGGCUCACCAAGGCGACGACGGGUAGCCGGCCUGAGAGGGUGACCGGCCACACUGGGACUGAGACACGGCCCAGACUCCUACGGGAGGCAG
RNAcentral lists this ribosomal RNA (233 nucleotides) under uncultured bacterium. RNAcentral describes it as "partial 16S ribosomal RNA". It matches the Rfam family "Bacterial small subunit ribosomal RNA", at positions 118 to 351 of the family's 1533-position model. The record is from RNAcentral.